GAUGAACGCUGGCGGCGUGCUUAACACAUGCAAGUCGAACGGAAAGACUCCUGCUUGCGCUGGUACUCGAGUGGCGAACGGGUGAGUGACACGUGGGUGGUCUGCCCUGCACUUCGGGAUAAGCCUGGGAAACUGGGUCUAAUACCGGCUAGGACGAUGGUUUGGAUGCCAUUGUGGAAAGUUUUUCGUUAUGGGAUGAGCUCGCGGCCUAUCAGCUUGUUGGUGGGGUAAUGGCCUCCCACGGCGUAGACGGGUAGCCUGCCUGAGAGGGUGGACGGCCACAAUGGGACUGAGGGACGGCGCAGACGGCAAUGGUAGGCAGUAGGCGGGAACAUUGCACAAUGGGGGCACGUCUGAGGAAGAGACGCUGGGGGUGUGAUGCAGGCUCUCGGGGUGUGAAGGCCGUUCGCUUGGGACGAAGAGCAAGUGACGGUACCUGGAGAAGAAGCACCGGCUAACUACGUG
This 465-nucleotide ribosomal RNA is filed under the name uncultured bacterium. Its description in RNAcentral is "partial 16S ribosomal RNA". It matches the Rfam family "Bacterial small subunit ribosomal RNA", at positions 28 to 507 of the family's 1533-position model. The record is from RNAcentral.